CGGGUUAGAGCCUGGUUGGUUAGGCGCCUCAUUUGGGUUGAGGAUUUUUUAUGUUCGAAUCAUAAUAACCCGA
This 73-nucleotide transfer RNA is filed under the name Peltigera aphthosa. Its description in RNAcentral is "tRNA-Pro". It matches the Rfam family "tRNA". Rfam says of the family: Transfer RNA (tRNA) molecules are approximately 80 nucleotides in length. Their secondary structure includes four short double-helical elements and three loops (D, anti-codon, and T loops). Further hydrogen bonds mediate the characteristic L-shaped molecular structure. tRNAs have two regions of fundamental functional importance: the anti-codon, which is responsible for specific mRNA codon recognition, and the 3' end, to which the tRNAs corresponding amino acid is attached (by aminoacyl-tRNA synthetases). tRNAs cope with the degeneracy of the genetic code in two manners: having more than one tRNA (with a specific anti-codon) for a particular amino acid; and 'wobble' base-pairing, i.e. permitting non-standard base-pairing at the 3rd anti-codon position. RNAcentral also lists the same sequence under 14 other names. The record is from RNAcentral. Lineage: Eukaryota; Fungi; Ascomycota; Lecanoromycetes; Peltigerales; Peltigeraceae.